AGGACGAACGCUGGCGGCGUGCUUAACACAUGCAAGUCGAGCGGUAAGGCCUUUCGGGGUACACGAGCGGCGAACGGGUGAGUAACACGUGAGCAAUCUGCCCUUCACUUUGGGAUAACCUCCGGAAACGGUGGCUAAUACCGAAUGCGACCACUCCACGCAUGUGGUGGUGGUGGAAAGUUCUGGCGGUGGAGGAUGAGCUCGCGGCCUAUCAGCUUGUUGGUGAGGUAAUGGCUCACCAAGGCUUCGACGGGUAGCCGGCCUGAGAGGGUGACCGGCCACACUGGGACUGAGACACGGCCCAGACUCCUACGGGAGGCAGCAGUGGGGAAUAUUGGACAAUGGGCGAAAGCCUGAUCCAGCAACGCCGCGUGAGGGAUGAAUGCCUUCGGGUUGUAAACCUCUUUCAGUGGGGACGAAGCGAAAGUGACGGUACCCGCAGAAGAAGCACCGGCCAACUACGUGCCAGC
RNAcentral lists this ribosomal RNA (470 nucleotides) under Nocardioides sp. l20. RNAcentral's name for it is "bacterial SSU rRNA". It matches the Rfam family "Bacterial small subunit ribosomal RNA", at positions 26 to 512 of the family's 1533-position model. Lineage: Bacteria; Bacillati; Actinomycetota; Actinomycetes; Propionibacteriales; Nocardioidaceae. The record is from RNAcentral.